UGGUGUUAUUCCACUUCCUUUUUUCCUGUCCUAAACUCCAGAGGUGUUAAAAAGAGGGUAAGGUCCUUCCUUGGGAUGGAUUUUGUGGUCCCAACCACAGGAAUUUCGCAUGACUUUGGUGCAUAAGUAAUUGCUAUCAUGAAAAUUCCUGAUUUUUCAAAAAUAAAUGAUGCAUAAAAGGCACAUAAAAGUUCAGUUAAUAAGUCCCAACGCGUUCAAGAACAUAUCUUAGCUCAGCCAAUGGAACUAGUUUUUUAUUCAGUGGAGGCCUCUUAAAUGCAUUGCCUCAGUGCACAGUAAAUCUGUUCUUUUAGCAGGUUUAUUCCUUUAUCUGGUAGUCAAUUAAGUGGCCUUUCAUGAAAUGUAGCAAUGACAUACAUUUGUGGACGGAGGUAUAUUCUUAUAACUUGUCUGAUUAUCUCUGGGAUUUCUCAUGUUUUAUUUAUGAGUAUUAUUUCGUGAGUAGGUUUAUGCCUUCAUCAAGUAAUCAUGAACACAUUUUAAGUAUAAAUAUAAGUCUCUAGCAACUGGAAACCACCAUGGUUUUAACAACGUUCAUUCUUGCACAAAUAUCUCAUUCAAUUUUCAGGGAAUUGUAUUUUGAGAAUAAAAUUUAUUUUGUCAUUUUCCCUCCUCACUUUCCAAAUUGUAAAACCUAUACUACAAAGAGAAGCAAUCAUCGCUGUUGCAUGCAUUCGACUAAAUAUUUCUAGCUAUAGAAAUGCCACCAGCUUAUUUCAUACACGUAAGAUGAACUGAGAGAAAAGCUUUUAAAAUGCACCAGCAUCGAUGAUAACUCCUCAACCUAAGAGGAACUUCACAGAAUAAAUGUCAGAAAAUACAUUGACAUGCUUGCAGGACAGAGAAUGUAAUCAGAUUUUUAAUGUUCUGGAUAUUAGAGUUCUGUUGUUGCUUGUUUUCGUUAAACUUUCAAUCUAACUGAUGAAUCACUUUUUCCCCACCACAAAAAUAAAGAAAAUUAAAAGUAAGUUAUUAUUCUCCCUUCAGAGAUCAAAUCUUCAAUUAAAUUUUGCACAUAAACAAAACAAAUGAAAUAUUAUAUGGAUCAAAAAUUUUAAUUUCCCCUCUAAACUGAUCAUUAAGCUACCAUUUUGAGCAACCAUCCUUUGUUUCAUUGAAUAUUUUUUUAAUUUGCCAUUAUUUUGGAAAUAAUUAAAGAAACAAUGUGGUUGGAUGAUAUUAUAACCCAACACCACUAUUAUCUUUAAAUGUAGGCACAGCCCAAUCUACAAAUGAAUUAGCUGUUCUUAAAUUAAGGAAUAUUAUGAGUCAGUAAUGGUAUGACAUUCUUUUUUAUGACUAUAGCUUGGGUUAUAAUGUGACAAGAAAAAAAAUGUAAUGUUACCAAAAUGACAGUUUUUAGAUUUGUGUUGCCUGAGGUAGUUCAGCUGAACAAUAAACUAUAAUUUGAUUGAUGGAAAAUUGAAGUGGUUCAUCUAAUCUGCCAGUCUAGCCUACCGCAGCUUUGGUUUUGCAUGUAUGAUGAUAUAUCACAGUUUUAGAGGUAAUGUUGUUUGCAUUAGACAGGAGAUUUUUUUUCCUCCCACAUAAAAACAGAGAACUUUAUUACAUAGGAAUGAUCAAAAUAUGCCAUGGAUUUAGCAUGGAAUCAAAUUUGUAAGUCCAAGUGUACAAAAACUAAGUGAUAUAAAUAAAGCCUUAGAACGUAGUUAUUUAUUGAGGGUAAAUUUGGCCAUAUACUGGCCAUGGAAUUAUUCGAUCUGAGGUAGAUUGACAUCUGCAGGUGAGAAAAGCAAUCAGACUAUAGCUAUUUCACCUUUAUUUUAAACAAAUGCUGUCUUGGUCAAGAGAAAUCUUAUAAACAUCAAUUAUAACAACUCCUAAACUCUAGAGAGGAAAAUGUGCUUUGAAAAAUAAGAAAAGAGUAAUAACUAAAUCUAAACACCUUAACCAUAUGCAAAUUCAAAUAAUAAAUUGGUAAUCAAAGACCAUGAGGCUAUUUAUAAUUAACUGCUGAAUAUUGAUGAUUUCUCCGAUUUAACCAAGGCAAAUUGAAAUUAAGAUUCCUGAGUUAAUUUCAGAGUAUAAUUUUAAACAGGAUGGUUCUGGUUUAUCUUCUGUUAUUAGCAGGCUAUCACAACAACUUUUGAAUAUAUGUAUAUCAUUCAAAAAUAAUAAGAAAAUGAGUCCCACUAUUUUUGUCUUGAAAUUAACACAGAAGAUUAAAUGUAUACAGAUGUUUCAAGUUACUGAAAAUUUUACUAAAAACAUCCAGGAAUGAAUUUCAAAAUAUCCCAGUUAGGAAUACAUCUGCAAGCAGAGAAGUUAAAUAUUUCAAAAGGAAAUUAUAGGAUUGGAAUGGGAAAUUUCAUACAUCAUUUUCUCCUUUAUUUGGGAAUGAAUAAUGGUCAUUGGAAAGGAAACCAUCAAAAACAAUUGAGAAGGUUUGAUAUUUCUGGCCUAUAUGAUUUAUCCAAAGUAAAAUAGCAGUGGGAGCAUUUUCACCUAUCAACUAAACAAAACAUUUUAAGCAUUCAUUAACAUUUAAGUAGUCAGUACUGCUAGUUUAUUGUGAAAUGAGUGUUCAUAUAACAAGGUUGGAAGUGGAAACGACUGCUACCUUUCUGGAAAACAAUUUGAAAAUAUAAGUAUCAUUUCUUGAGUGCUUACAAUGUUCUGGGCUCUGUGCUAUCCAUGUAUUUGCUAAAGUGUAAAUUUUAUUGGUUUCUAUCAGGAGCCAUAAAAACGUUCAUAGCUUCUGACUCAUUAAUUCUAAUUUUAAGAAUAUAUCUUAAGAAAAUCAAAAAUAGUAUGAUAUAUGUAUAUAUUCAUUGUAACAUCACUUACGUGGGAAAAAUUGAAGAUAAUCAUAGUGUUCAGAAAUUAUUUAAUUAUGCUAUAUCUCUUUGAUCACAUCUUAUGAUUAUUCAGCCACUGAAAAUCACUUUAUAUAGAAUAUUUUAUAGCAUGCAAAUUUUUAUCAUAUAUUAGGCUAGAAAAUCAGGAAACAAAAUCGUAGUCAUUAUACAUAUUAAAAGAAAACUAUAUAAAAUUAGAAUAGUGAAGAGUAUAAAGAGUCGGUGGAAAUAUACAUUUUUCUUUUCUUCUUUAAACUUUUCUAUAUUUCCAGACAUUUUUUGAUCAACAUGCCCUACUUUCAUAAAUGGAAAAGAAAAAUCAUUAUUUCUCUCAUUUUCACUUUAUCCCUACCUGCCUACAUUGGCAUAUGAGGUCCUUCACAAGAGAGUGGAAAUACCAUAAUCUUUGGGAUUAGGCAGAUGUGGCUUGAAAUACUAGUUUCACUACUUGCUAGAGUGUCCUGAGCUUGUUAGCUAACCUCUCCGGUCUUCAAUUUCUUCAAUGCAAAAUAAAUUAACAAACUUAUGUAAAAGAUUCAGUGAGGAGAGACUGAUCAACAUUAACGUCAACGAGGAAGAGGGUCCUAGGAAAGAUUUUAACACGAAAGUAAUGUUUAAGUAGUCCUGGAGGAUGAGCUGGCUGUGUAGACAUGUCACCAGAAGAAUGAUGUUCCAAGCAGAAGGUACAUGGUGAAAACGGAGAC
Equus asinus (donkey) is the source of this 3544-nucleotide long non-coding RNA. NCBI's taxonomy places the organism in Eukaryota, Metazoa, Chordata, Mammalia, Perissodactyla, Equidae. The record is from Ensembl.